This 481-nucleotide ribosomal RNA is filed under the name uncultured bacterium. RNAcentral describes it as "partial 16S ribosomal RNA". It matches the Rfam family "Bacterial small subunit ribosomal RNA", at positions 28 to 523 of the family's 1533-position model. The record is from RNAcentral.
GACGAACGCUGGCGGCGUGCUUAACACAUGCAAGCCGAACGAUGAUGCCCAGCUUGCUGGGUGGAUUAGUGGCGAACGGGUGAGUAACACGUGAGUAACCUGCCCCUGACUCUGGGAUAAGCGUUGGAAACGACGUCUAAUACUGGAUAUGACUGCCGGCCGCAUGGUCUGGUGGUGGAAAGAUUUUUUGGUUGGGGAUGGACUCGCGGCCGAUCAGCUUGUUGGUGAGGUAAUGGCUCACCAAGGCGACGACGGGUAGCCGGCCUGAGGGUGACCGGCCACACUGGGACUGAGACACGGCCCAGACUCCUACGGGAGGCAGCAGUGGGGAAUAUUGCACAAUGGGCGAAAGCCUGAUGCAGCAACGCCGCGUGAGGGGUGACGGCCUUCGGGUUGUAAACCUCUUUUAGUAGGGAAGAAGCGAAAGUGACGGUACCUGCAGAAAAAGCACCGGCUAACUACGUGCCAGCAGCCGCGGUAA